GGAAGUAAAAGUCAUAACAAGGUCUCCGUUGGUGAACCAGCGGAGGGAUCAUUACCGAGUUUACAACUCCCAAACCCCUAUGUGAACGUUACCAAACUGUUGCCUCGGCGGGAAAUUCAUGCCCCGGGCGCGUCGCAGCCCCGGACCGAGGCGCCCGCCGGAGGACCAACCAAAACUCUUUUGUAUGUCCCUCGCGGACUUUUAUAAUUCUGAACCAUCUCGGCGCCCCUAGCGGGCGUUUCGAAGAUGAAUCAAAACUUUCAACAACGGAUCUCUUGGUUCUG
RNAcentral lists this unclassified non-coding RNA (284 nucleotides) under plant metagenome. RNAcentral's name for it is "partial contains small subunit ribosomal RNA, internal transcribed spacer 1, and 5.8S ribosomal RNA". The stretch from base 1 to 54 matches the Rfam family "Eukaryotic small subunit ribosomal RNA", at positions 1778 to 1831 of the family's 1831-position model. The record is from RNAcentral.